This 380-nucleotide ribosomal RNA is filed under the name uncultured bacterium. RNAcentral's name for it is "bacterial SSU rRNA". It matches the Rfam family "Bacterial small subunit ribosomal RNA", at positions 29 to 399 of the family's 1533-position model. The record is from RNAcentral.
AUUGAACGCUGGCGGCGUGCCUAACACAUGCAAGUCGAUCGGUAACAGGUGUAGCAAUACAUGCUGACGAGAGGCGGACGGGUGAGUAACGCUUGGGAAUCUGCCUAUUAGUGGGGGGACAACCCGGGGGAAACUCGGGCUAAUACCGCAUACGCUCUACGGAGGGAAAGCCGGGGACCGCAAGGCCUGGCGCUAAUAGAUGAGCCCAAGUCGGAUUAGCUAGUUGGUAGGGUAAUGGCCUACUAAGGCGACGAUCCGUAGCUGGUCUGAGAGGACGACCAGCCACACUGGGACUGAGACACGGCCCAGACUCCUACGGGAGGCAGCAUGGGGGAAUAUUGGACAAUGGGGGAAACCCGUACGGAGUACCAGCGACGCCG